Molecule: ribosomal RNA, 264 nt
Filed under: uncultured bacterium
Lineage: Bacteria
Description: partial 16S ribosomal RNA
Rfam family: Bacterial small subunit ribosomal RNA
Source: RNAcentral
GUCCACGCCCUAAACGAUGUCUACUAGUUGUUGGGUCUUAAUUGACUCAGUAACGCAGCUAACGCGUGAAGUAGACCGCCUGGGGAGUACGGUCGCAAGAUUAAAACUCAAAGGAAUUGACGGGGACCCGCACAAGCGGUGGAUGAUGUGGAUUAAUUCGAUGCAACGCGAAAAACCUUACCUACGCUUGACAUGUCAGGAAUCCCGCUGAGAGGUGGGAGUGCUCGAAAGAGAACCUGAACACAGGUGCUGCAUGGCUGUCGU